AAAUCUUACCGGGUCCGGACACACUGAGGAUUGACAGGAAUUAUCGUGUUUUAAAAAUUUUCUUCGGAAUUUUUUUUUUUUCACGUGUUAAAUAUGCUAGUCCUUUCAUGAUUAUGUGAUAGGUGGUGCAUGGCCGUUCUUAGUUCGUGGAGUGAUCUGUCUGCUUAAUUGCGUUUCACAACGAGCUUACACUAUAACGCAUUGUUUGUGAGGUAGUCUGACCCCUUGGCUUCGGCCACAGCGCGUGUCUUUCUGCCAUCAUCACAUCAUGCUUCGUAAAGCUCUGAAAGCAACGAACGUGACCGCAACCUCUUGUUGCCUGUAUUACAAACUGACGUCUCAUUUUUUAAAUGUGCGUUAUAUAAACAGGCCUUAUAUUAAUAAACUAGAGGGACCGCUGCUUUUUCCUUAAACCAGAGGAAGGUUGCGGCAAUAA
This 436-nucleotide ribosomal RNA is filed under the name uncultured marine eukaryote. Its description in RNAcentral is "partial 18S ribosomal RNA". It matches the Rfam family "Eukaryotic small subunit ribosomal RNA", at positions 1210 to 1456 of the family's 1831-position model. The record is from RNAcentral.